GCCCUCUCAGUAUCACAGUUGGAGAGUUCCCAGUACUCUACCAGUCUCAGCUAUGGGAGGGAGAGUCAAACAGAGGCCUACCCAUUCCAUUCCUAGCUUGGCCAGUGGCUAGCGAGUGGAAGGCAACCCGCUACAAGU
Molecule: small nucleolar RNA, 138 nt
Organism: Tachyglossus aculeatus (Australian echidna)
Lineage: Eukaryota; Metazoa; Chordata; Mammalia; Monotremata; Tachyglossidae
Source: RefSeq, a predicted model, not a curated record